This 346-nucleotide ribosomal RNA is filed under the name uncultured bacterium. RNAcentral's name for it is "bacterial SSU rRNA". It matches the Rfam family "Bacterial small subunit ribosomal RNA", at positions 29 to 399 of the family's 1533-position model. The record is from RNAcentral.
AGCGAACGCUGGCGGCAGGCUCAACACAUGCAAGUCGAGCGGGCCCUUCGGGGUCAGCGGCGGACGGGUGAGUAACGCGUGGGAACGUGCCUUCUGGUCUGGAAUAACCCUGGGAAACUAGGGCUAAUACCGGAUACGCCCUUUUGGGGAAAGGUUUACUGCCGGAAGAUCGGCCCGCGUCUGAUUAGCUAGUUGGUGGGGUAACGGCCUACCAAGGCGACGAUCAGUAGCUGGUCUGAGAGGAUGAUCAGCCACACUGGGACUGAGACACGGCCCAGACUCCUACGGGGAGGCAGCAGUGGGGAAUAUUGGACAAUGGGCGCAAGCCUGAUCCAGCCCAUCGCCG